AUUUACACAAGUAAAAACAUGAGAAACUGCUCAGAACAAUACAGAGAAUUAGUAUAGCCCCUGCACAAGGGUGACACAAAAAUCUGUGAAGCAUUCCAUAUUUCU
Molecule: small nuclear RNA, 105 nt
Organism: Perognathus longimembris pacificus (Pacific pocket mouse)
Lineage: Eukaryota; Metazoa; Chordata; Mammalia; Rodentia; Heteromyidae
Source: RefSeq, a predicted model, not a curated record